Molecule: ribosomal RNA, 478 nt
Filed under: uncultured bacterium
Lineage: Bacteria
Description: partial 16S ribosomal RNA
Rfam family: Bacterial small subunit ribosomal RNA
Source: RNAcentral
GAUGAACGCUGGCGGCGUGCCUAACACAUGCAAGUCGAACGGAGUCCAGCCUUUAAGACCUUCGGGUCAAAGAGGGGAAGACUGAGUGGCGGACGGGUGGGUAACACGUGGGCAACCUGGCUCAUAGAGGGGGAUAACAGAGAGAAAUUUCUGCUAAUACCGCAUAAGCACACACUGCCGCAUGGCAGAGGGUGAAAAGAGAAUCGCUAUGAGAUGGACCCGCGUCUGAUUAGCCAGUUGGCAGGGUAAGAGCCUACCAAAGCGACGAUCAGUAGCCGAUCUGAGAGGAUGAACGGCCACAUUGGGACUGAGACACGGCCCAAACUCCUACGGGAGGCAGCAGUGGGGGAUAUUGCACAAUGGGGGGAACCCUGAUGCAGCGACGCCGCGUGAGAGAAGAAGUAUUUCGGUAUGUAAAGCUCUAUCAGCAGGGAAGAUAAUGACAGUACCUGAAUAAGAAGCCCCGGCUAACUACGUG